ACCGCGUGCGAAGCGAUGCGAGCAGAGCCUGUGUGGAGGGAGAAACUCGUCAGGGCUGCUGAAAACACAGUAGAGAGGCGCUCUGUGGACUGAUUCGGCAUUACGAGCAGGUCCCAGCCAAGUAUCGACAAAUACCUUAACAACGUCGAAAGUAGCCUAUUUUAAGAGGAAAUAUGCAGAAGAAGAAGAAGAUUUACAUCAGGAUUACCAGGGGUAUUUUCCAAAACACCUGAUCCUGCCCGAAGACCGGACUUGUAUCUUGAAACUUUCUCUGCAGAAGCUCCAGUUCCUCGAAGAUCCCGAGAUCUACCUCCGCCGGUCCGUCUUGAUCAACAACCUGCUGCGGAAGAUUCACCUGGAAACGGAGCGGGAACGCUAUGAAUACUUUAAGGGGAGUCCGUGCUGCCGGACUGCCUACGCGGAUGCACGAAAACGGCUGAAGUUCAUGGUCCAAGAAUGCCGUUCUCAAUCCCUUUAUUACGAAGAGCUGCAUUCGUAUCGUAUCGUGCCUUACCCUACAGAGAAUGCCAUUUACAGAGUGGGCUACUCGAGUGGCCACUUGGAGCAGAAUUCUCAGCUGCUUAUUUAUAAGAUGGAGUAGAGGUCGUGCUUUAUUUUCUUGUAGACCUGCCGGUUGUUUUGCUUCUGAGCGGCUAGGAGGGCUUCUUAGCCUGCUAUGGUGAGGCGCUAGCUGCAACCACAGGGAGAGGUCAAAGGUUAGUCUGUCAUCUUAGGCUGCAAUGAUGGUUGCUCUGGGGGAGCUUCGGCCAGCUUGGUUGCAAACGUCGCUCGGUGUCCACUUGGAACUGGUGCAAUAGGGAGGUUCCUCAGAAGCAGAGAGAGAUCUUGCGCUCAGCGAACAGUGGCUUUUCGACUUGUCCGUUAUGUAUAUAGAUGAAUUAACAUUAGCAGCUUAACUAGACCACCCUUGCUUAGGAAACGUAAACUGAGACAGGAGACUAUACCGUUAGUGAGGUUUUGGUGAGAAUCAGAAAGGGUGGGUGGGACUGACUUCUCAGAAGGGUCAAGAAACAAGCUUUCAUUUUAAGGCAGUCCUUCGGCACUGAAGGAUUCUCUGCCGUUACAGAUAUGGAUUCCUUUUCACGCUUUUUUUUUUUGCUUAGGGUCCACGCUAUUGACUGUU
Non-coding RNA from Zootoca vivipara (common lizard), 1144 nucleotides. Lineage: Eukaryota; Metazoa; Chordata; Lepidosauria; Squamata; Lacertidae. The record is from RefSeq and is a predicted model, not a curated record.